RNAcentral lists this ribosomal RNA (238 nucleotides) under uncultured bacterium. RNAcentral describes it as "partial 16S ribosomal RNA". It matches the Rfam family "Bacterial small subunit ribosomal RNA", at positions 99 to 334 of the family's 1533-position model. The record is from RNAcentral.
CGAACGGGUGAGUAACGCGUGAGGAACCUGCCUCAAAGAGGGGGACAACAGUUGGAAACGACUGCUAAUACCGCAUAAGCCCACGGGUCGGCAUCGACCUGAGGGAAAAAGGAGCAAUCCGCUUUGAGAUGGCCUCGCGUCCGAUUAGCUAGUUGGUGAGGUAACGGCCCACCAAGGCGACGAUCAGUAGCCGACCUGAGAGGGUGACCGGCCACAUUGGGACUGAGACACGGCCCAG